Molecule: ribosomal RNA, 1369 nt
Filed under: metagenome
Description: bacterial LSU rRNA
Rfam family: Bacterial large subunit ribosomal RNA
Source: RNAcentral
CCUUAACGAGGAGGCUUGCCUCCGAAGUGAGUGAUACCCAGCUUCCAGGAAAAGCCACUAAGCUUCAGCUGCACACGACCGUACCGCAAACCGACACUGGUGCGCGAGAUGAGUAUUCUCAGGCGCUUGAGAGAACUCGGGAGAAGGAACUCGGCAAAUUGACACCGUAACUUCGGAAGAAGGUGUGCCUUUAGUAGGUGAACCCGUACAGGGGGAGCCCAAUGAGGUUGCAAAGAAUCGGUGGCUGCGACUGUUUAAUAAAAACACAGCACUCUGCAAACACGAAAGUGGACGUAUAGGGUGUGACGCCUGCCCGGUGCUGGAAGAUUAAGUGAUGGGGUGCAAGCUCUUGAUCGAAGUCCCAGUAAACGGCGGCCGUAACUAUAACGGUCCUAAGGUAGCGAAAUUCCUUGUCGGGUAAGUUCCGACCUGCACGAAUGGCGUAACGAUGGCCACACUGUCUCCUCCCGAGACUCAGCGAAGUUGAAAUGUUUGUGAUGAUGCAAUCUCCCCGCGGAAAGACGGAAAGACCCCAUGAACCUUUACUGUAGCUUUGUAUUGGACUUUGAACGGAUCUGUGUAGGAUAGGUGGGAGGCUUUGAAGCAGGGUCGCUAGAUCUUGUGGAGCCAACGUUGAAAUACCACCCUGGUGCGUUUGAGGUUCUAACCUAGGCCCGUUAUCCGGGUCGGGGACAGUGCAUGGUAGGCAGUUUGACUGGGGCGGUCUCCUCCCAAAGCGUAACGGAGGAGUUCGAAGGUACGCUAGUUACGGUCGGACAUCGUGACGAUAGUGCAAUGGCAUAAGCGUGCUUAACUGCGAGACUGACAAGUCGAGCAGAUGCGAAAGCAGGACAUAGUGAUCCGGUGGUUCUGUAUGGAAGGGCCAUCGCUCAACGGAUAAAAGGUACUCUGGGGAUAACAGGCUGAUACCGCCCAAGAGUUCAUAUCGACGGCGGUGUUUGGCACCUCGAUGUCGGCUCAUCUCAUCCUGGGGCUGUAGCCGGUCCCAAGGGUAUGGCUGUUCGCCAUUUAAAGAGGUACGUGAGCUGGGUUUAAAACGUCGUGAGACAGUUUGGUCCCUAUCUUCCGUGGGCGCUGCAGAUUUGAGGAAGCCUGCUCCUAGUACGAGAGGACCGGAGUGGACGCACCUCUGGUGUACCUGUUGUCACGCCAGUGGCAUUGCAGGGUAGCUAAGUGCGGAAGAGAUAACCGCUGAAAGCAUCUAAGCGGGAAACUCGUUUCAAGAUGAGAUCUGCCGGGGCCUUGAGCCCCCUGAAGAGUCGUUCUAGACCAGGACGUUGAUAGGCUGGGUGUGGAAGCGCAGUAAUGCGUUAAGCUAACCAGUACUAAUUGCUCGUGCGGCUUGACC